UACGGAGGGUGCAAGCGUUAUCCGGAUUCACUGGGUUAAAGGGUGCGUAGGUGGGAAUGUAAGUCAGUGGUGAAAUCUCCGUGCUUAACAUGGAAACUGCCAUUGAUACUAUGUUUCUUGAAUUUUCUGGAGGUCAGCGGAAUAUGUCAUGUAGCGGUGAAAUGCUUAGAUAUGACAUAGAACACCAAUUGCGAAGGCAGCUGACUACAGGGACAUUGACACUGAGGCACGAAAGCGUGGGGAUCAAACAGG
RNAcentral lists this ribosomal RNA (252 nucleotides) under uncultured bacterium. RNAcentral describes it as "partial 16S ribosomal RNA". It matches the Rfam family "Bacterial small subunit ribosomal RNA", at positions 524 to 776 of the family's 1533-position model. The record is from RNAcentral.